Molecule: ribosomal RNA, 476 nt
Filed under: uncultured archaeon
Lineage: Archaea
Description: bacterial SSU rRNA
Rfam family: Archaeal small subunit ribosomal RNA
Source: RNAcentral
GUGUGAUAAGGGAACCCUCAGUGCUCAUGCUUUGCAUGGGCUUUUGCCAAGAGUAGAAAUCUUGGCGAAUAAGUGGUGGGUAAGACUGGUGCCAGCAGCCGCGGUAACACCAGCGCCACGAGUAGGAAUCAUUUUUAUUUGGCCUAAAGCGUCCGUAGCUGGUUUAGUAAAUUUCUUGUGAAAUCAUUGGACUUAAUCUAAUGGCGUGCAGGAAAGACUGCUAGACUUGGAACCGGGAGGAGUCAGAGGUAUUCCAUGAGGAGCGGUAAAAUGCAUUAAUCCAUGGAGGACCGCCUGUGGCGAAGGCGUCUGACUAGAACGGAUUCGACAGUGAGGGACGAAAGCUAGGGGAGCGAUCCGGAUUAGAUACCCGAGUAGUCCUAGCUGUAAACUCUGUGAGCAAGGUGUUGCACAUUCCACGAGAAUGUGCAGUGUCGAAACGAAGGUGUUAAGCUCACCGCCUGGGAAGUACGGUC